GAGGGUAUAGCUCAGUGGUAGAGUAUAUACUUAGCAUGCUUGAGGUCCUGGGUUCAAUCCCCAGCACCUCCA
Camelus ferus (Wild Bactrian camel) is the source of this 72-nucleotide transfer RNA. It matches the Rfam family "tRNA". Rfam says of the family: Transfer RNA (tRNA) molecules are approximately 80 nucleotides in length. Their secondary structure includes four short double-helical elements and three loops (D, anti-codon, and T loops). NCBI's taxonomy places the organism in Eukaryota, Metazoa, Chordata, Mammalia, Artiodactyla, Camelidae. The record is from Rfam.